GUAGGGAAUCUUCCGCAAUGGACGAAAGUCUGACGGAGCAACGCCGCGUGAGUGAAGAAGGUUUUCGGAUCGUAAAACUCUGUUGCCGGAGAAGAACGAAUUCUGGAGGAAAUGCCAGGAUUGUGACGGUAUCCGGCCAGAAAGCCACGGCUAACUACGUGCCAGCAGCCGCGGUAAUACGUAGGUGGCAAGCGUUGUCCGGAAUUAUUGGGCGUAAAGCGCGCGCAGGCGGCACCUUAAGUCUGAUGUGAAAUCUUGCGGCUCAACCGCAAGCGGUCAUUGGAAACUGGGGCGCUUGAGUGCAGAAGAGGAGAGCAGAAUUCCACGUGUAGCGGUGAAAUGCGUAGAGAUGUGGAGGAAUACCGGUGGCGAAGGCGGCUCUCUGGUCUGUUACUGACGCUGAGGUGCGAAAGCGUGGGGAGCGAACAGGAUUAGAUACCCUAGUAGUCC
Molecule: ribosomal RNA, 450 nt
Filed under: uncultured bacterium
Lineage: Bacteria
Description: bacterial SSU rRNA
Rfam family: Bacterial small subunit ribosomal RNA
Source: RNAcentral